RNAcentral lists this small RNA (190 nucleotides) under Arabidopsis lyrata subsp. lyrata. Its description in RNAcentral is "Early nodulin 40". It matches the Rfam family "Early nodulin 40". The record is from Rfam by way of RNAcentral. Lineage: Eukaryota; Viridiplantae; Streptophyta; Magnoliopsida; Brassicales; Brassicaceae.
AUGAAACCGGCAGAAAAAAUGCAGACAAAGCCAUUCAAGGAGGAGGCAGAGGAACCUCAGUUUGAUAAAUCUCCCUAACAGUUUGUUUAGCUUGGCCAUGAGAAGCGAGGAGACAAAAGAAACUUGGGUUUAUGGGAAUGGCAAAACGGCAAGUCAUAUAUCGGCAUCAGGCUCGUGUUUUCCGAGUUCU